Molecule: ribosomal RNA, 245 nt
Filed under: uncultured bacterium
Lineage: Bacteria
Description: partial 16S ribosomal RNA
Rfam family: Bacterial small subunit ribosomal RNA
Source: RNAcentral
AUGCAAGUGUUAUCCGGAAUCACUGGGCGUACAGCGUCUGUCGGUGGUUUAAUAAGUCAACUGUUAAAUCUUGAGGCUCAACCUCAAAAUCGCAGUCGAAACUAUUAGGCUAGAGUAUAGUAGGGGUAAAGGGAAUUUCCAGUGGAGCGGUGAAAUGCGUAGAGAUUGGAAAGAACACCGAUGGCGAAGGCACUUUACUGGGCUAUUACUAACACUCAGAGACGAAAGCUAGGGUAGCAAAUGGG